This 497-nucleotide ribosomal RNA is filed under the name uncultured bacterium. Its description in RNAcentral is "partial 16S ribosomal RNA". It matches the Rfam family "Bacterial small subunit ribosomal RNA", at positions 28 to 507 of the family's 1533-position model. The record is from RNAcentral.
GAUGAACGCUGGCGGCGUGCCUAAUACAUGCAAGUCGAGCGAACAGACGAGGAGCUUGCUCCUCUGACGUUAGCGGCGGACGGGUGAGUAACACGUGGAUAACCUACCUAUAAGACUGGGAUAACUUCGGGAAACCGGAGCUAAUACCGGAUAAUAUAUUGAACCGCAUGGUUCAAUAGUGAAAGACGGUUUUGCUGUCACUUAUAGAUGGAUCCGCGCCGCAUUAGCUAGUUGGUAAGGUAACGGCUUACCAAGGCAACGAUGCGUAGCCGACCUGAGAGGGUGAUCGGCCACACUGGAACGGAGACACGGUCCAGACUCCUACGGGAGGCAGCAGUAGGGAAUCGGCCGCAAUGGGCGAAAGCCUGACGGAGCAACGCCGCGUGAGUGAUGAAGGUCUUCGGAUCGUAAAACUCUGUUAUUAGGGAAGAACAAAUGUGUAAGUAACUAUGCACGUCUUGACGGUACCUAAUCAGAAAGCCACGGCUAACUACGUG